Molecule: transfer RNA, 74 nt
Filed under: Megalamphodus megalopterus (black phantom tetra)
Lineage: Eukaryota; Metazoa; Chordata; Actinopteri; Characiformes; Acestrorhamphidae
Description: Hyphessobrycon megalopterus (black phantom tetra) tRNA-Gln
Rfam family: tRNA
About the family: Transfer RNA (tRNA) molecules are approximately 80 nucleotides in length.
Source: RNAcentral
UGUUUAGGAAAUGGUGUAAUGGAAGCACUUAGAAUUUUGAGUUCUAAAAUAAGGGUUCAAGUCCUUUUUUCCUA